RNAcentral lists this ribosomal RNA (197 nucleotides) under uncultured bacterium. Its description in RNAcentral is "partial 16S ribosomal RNA". It matches the Rfam family "Bacterial small subunit ribosomal RNA", at positions 328 to 539 of the family's 1533-position model. The record is from RNAcentral.
ACGCUCGACACCUACGGGAGCAGCAGUGGGGAAUAUUGCACAAUGGGGGAAACCCUGAUGCAGCGACGCCGCGUGAGCGAAGAAGUAUUUCGGUAUGUAAAGCUCUAUCAGCAGGGAAGAAACUGACGGUACCUGACUAAGAAGCACCGGCUAAAUACGUGCCGANAGCCGCGGUAAUCUGAGCGGGCUGGCAAGGC